UACGGAGGGUGCAAGCGUUAUCCGGAUUCACUGGGUUUAAAGGGUGCGUAGGUGGGCAGGUAAGUCAGUGGUGAAAUCUCCGGGCUUAACCCGGAAACUGCCAUUGAUACUAUCAGUCUUGAAUACCGUGGAGGUAAGCGGAAUAUGUCAUGUAGCGGUGAAAUGCUUAGAUAUGACAUGGAACACCAAUUGCGAAGGCAGCUUACUACCCGAAUAUUGACACUGAGGCACGAAAGCGUGGGGAUCAAACAGG
This 253-nucleotide ribosomal RNA is filed under the name uncultured bacterium. Its description in RNAcentral is "partial 16S ribosomal RNA". It matches the Rfam family "Bacterial small subunit ribosomal RNA", at positions 524 to 776 of the family's 1533-position model. The record is from RNAcentral.